Zea mays is the source of this 1451-nucleotide long non-coding RNA. RefSeq lists it as uncharacterized. NCBI's taxonomy places the organism in Eukaryota, Viridiplantae, Streptophyta, Magnoliopsida, Poales, Poaceae. The transcript is spliced from 2 exons. The record is from RefSeq and is a predicted model, not a curated record.
GCUCAUUAUGUCAUUCACCACACCUGUCUUGUUGCUCACCGCUCCUACUACCACAGGUCCAAAGCAAGAAAGAAGGAACGGAGGACGAUAAUGGCUCUGGUCGGGCAAGUGGCGAUGGUGGCGCAGCUGGUGGGCGUGGAUGCGUUUAGCCUCUUCAUUCUUGGUAUCUUUGUGUUUGUACCCAUUGCUGUAUGUUUUCCUUGGUUGUGCCUGAUAUUUGUUUGUAGAUAUCAGCAGACGGGAGGGAACAUUAGCUUUAGCCUAUCAGCUAUUCAGAAUCUGUAGAUGGGAGGGAGCAUCAACUAUUCUAUAAUUGCUUGAUAUAUUUUUAUGUAGUGUUGCUUGAGUUUUAUGCGCCAUGGUGUGGCCAUUGUCAGAAUCUGGCCUUAGUCUUGGAUGAAGUUAUAGUUCUGUUGCAGAAAGAUGAAGGUGCAACCAUUGCUAAGAUGGUAACGUACAACAGGAUACUGAUAGUUAGAGUAGGGACUUGGGACAUAGUGAAGGUGAUGCUUAGAAACUAUGUAUCUUGUUUUUUAUUAUGAUUUCAAGAUAUUUGUUUUUAUCUAUUUUCUGUCAUAUGCUUCUAUGGUGCAUGGAAGCUGAUGAGUGUGUUCUAUAUGCUUUUUAGUCCCUUUUCCAAAAUGAUUCGCCUACAACAUUACUUGCUCGUGUGAUGGGCACCAUUGGCUCCAUAGAACAAGCUAUGCUUGCACAGGGACGCCACACCUACAAAUAUUUCAUAAAAAACCACAUGUUGUAUGAAAAAAAUCAGGAAAGGUUUGCAUUUGGAAGAAUGGGAUUUGAUUGGUGAUUUGUGGAUCGUAUGACUGGUGAUUAGAGAAGCUAGAGUGCAACGACAAGGAGAUAAUGGAGAAUAAGUAUUUCACCCCAAUCAAAGGUGAAGACUAGCAUUCUCAUGAAAAAAGCCAGUUAUUACUGAUAUUUUUUUUCUGUUCAGGAUCUAAUUGCUCAACGUUUAUGCCUUUCAUUUACUACCUUCAUUCUUUUUUUUCAAAAGUGUUUAGUGCAUCAACAUUGUUUUUAGUAAAUGUCUUUGACUAUUGCCUUUUAUUGCUAUAUGUCGGGCCGUUUUGUUGCGCUGUUGUGCACGUGGUUGUAGGGAGGGCGUAUUGUGGCGGCUACGAGGGACCGAUGUUCCUAUGUGGCGGUGACAACGACACCGUGGAGCCAAGGCAAUGUCAGCAAGCUGAUUUUUAAGAUUGGAAUCUAUGGUUAUUUUUAAAGAUCGAAUUGUUCUAGCAUCUUAAAAAGAUUUGUCAGAAUGUAAACAUUUGUUCUGAGGUCAUUUAGGCCUCAAACAGAAUUUCAUGGACUUAUUUCGUUGGAGGGAAUGAGACAUCUCGAGAUCUAAAUGUGUAUAGAAGAUCCAAAUGUGUAUAGAACAUAUAUUUUUAUGGGUAUCAAAUAUGAUUGUGUGCAAAGCACGGACA